Molecule: non-coding RNA, 108 nt
Organism: Hypoxylon argillaceum
Lineage: Eukaryota; Fungi; Ascomycota; Sordariomycetes; Xylariales; Hypoxylaceae
Source: the annotation of a GenBank genome assembly
GGGCUUGUGGUUUAGUGGUAUAAUACUCCCUUAGCAUCUGCUGGGCUUCUUUCUCAGAAGCGCACGAGAAACUGGGAGUGGUCCGGGGUUCGAUUCCCCGCGAGUCCA